GAUGAACGCUGGCGGCGUGCCUAACACAUGCAAGUCGAGCGAUUUACUUCGGUAAAGAGCGGCGGACGGGUGAGUAACGCGUGGGUAACCUGCCCUGUACACACGGAUAACAUACCGAAAGGUAUGCUAAUACGAGAUAAUAUACUUUUAUCGCAUGGUAGAAGUAUCAAAGCUCCGGCGGUACAGGAUGGACCCGCGUCUGAUUAGCUAGUUGGUAAGGUAACGGCUUACCAAGGCGACGAUCAGUAGCCGACCUGAGAGGGUGAUCGGCCACAUUGGAACUGAGACACGGUCCAAACUCCUACGGGAGGCAGCAGUGGGGAAUAUUGCACAAUGGGCGAAAGCCUGAUGCAGCAACGCCGCGUGAGCGAUGAAGGCUCGGUCGUAAAGCUCUGUCCUCAAGGAAGAUAAUAGACGGUACUUGAGGAGGAAGCCCGGCUAACUACGUGCCAGCAGCGCGGUAAAAGUACACGUCG
RNAcentral lists this ribosomal RNA (476 nucleotides) under uncultured bacterium. RNAcentral's name for it is "bacterial SSU rRNA". It matches the Rfam family "Bacterial small subunit ribosomal RNA", at positions 28 to 536 of the family's 1533-position model. The record is from RNAcentral.